GAGCGUGGACCGUAGUUUCGGGGUUACUUUGCAGAGGUAGUUUAGAGGUUAAUUUCCUCCGCGCUUU
RNAcentral lists this transfer RNA (67 nucleotides) under Tylodelphys immer. Its description in RNAcentral is "tRNA-Cys". The record is from RNAcentral. Lineage: Eukaryota; Metazoa; Platyhelminthes; Trematoda; Diplostomida; Diplostomidae.